This 219-nucleotide long non-coding RNA is filed under the name Elaeis guineensis (African oil palm). RNAcentral describes it as "long non-coding RNA (EGUI_LNC017681)". The record is from RNAcentral. Lineage: Eukaryota; Viridiplantae; Streptophyta; Magnoliopsida; Arecales; Arecaceae.
GGCUGCAUGAUUUUUCUGUCGUCGAAUCUUGCAGAGGUUCUCAAUAUUUUUCCUUUGUUUUAUAGUGAAGUUAUAGACGUACCCGUGACAACUCGCAGUCUUAUCUGUAAAGGUUGUCGUGGGGGAUAGACCAAAUGUCAAUUCUCUAUUAUUGCAAAACUACCACAUGAUUUACCUCUCUUUUCCCAUGAACAAAUUUGCAACAUGAUUUACCCCAAA